Long non-coding RNA from Zingiber officinale, 479 nucleotides. RefSeq lists it as uncharacterized. The record is from RefSeq and is a predicted model, not a curated record. NCBI's taxonomy places the organism in Eukaryota, Viridiplantae, Streptophyta, Magnoliopsida, Zingiberales, Zingiberaceae. The transcript has 4 exons.
UUCCUAUUUGCCCUAGAAACAAGACUGCUUCUUCUCUGCGCCUCAUUCCAGUGAGGCCUAAAAACAUUUCCCUAUCCUCUUCUUAGCAAUCCCUUGCAAGGAGUAAUGUAAGGUUGCGCCAAGAGUUGCUUGAAUCAUCUCCAAAGAUUGCCAUUACUAUUAUAUGGGAGAUUGUAAGAGUGAUAUCAUCUGUCGAUUUUUUCCAUGGUCAGGCACACAAGCUAUAGUGAGGAACAAUAGAAUGAAGGUUCAUCUUGGCUAACCAACAGGAUUCUGAUGAAGAAGGAUUAUAGAAGUUAUCUUCAGAUCAUGAGGAGUUGUUCUUUAGGCUUUCUCUUGUAUAACUUUCAUGGAAAUAGUAGAUUUUUCUUAUCAAAUUAAUGAUGUAUAUGUAGAUAUUUUUAUUAUUGGAUGAAUGUUGGCAUGAAACUUAUGUACUGACUUGUAAGUUAAAAAAUAUUAGAAUUUUAUAUUAUGUA